RNAcentral lists this ribosomal RNA (114 nucleotides) under Parvibium lacunae. Lineage: Bacteria; Pseudomonadati; Pseudomonadota; Betaproteobacteria; Burkholderiales; Alcaligenaceae. The record is from RNAcentral.
CCUGACGACCAUAGCAAAGUGGUACCACCCCUUCCCAUCCCGAACAGGACCGUGAAACGCUUUAGCGCCGAUGGUAGUGAGCAGAUCGCUCGUGAGAGUAGGACAUCGUCAGGC